AGCUUUGCGCAGUGGCAGUAUUGUAGCCAAUGAGGUUUAUCCAAGGCGCAAUUAUUGCUAGUAAGUUAAAGAAAUUAAAUUUAAACAUCCCUCAUUUUUUUAACACAUUUUAUAAAUCCAUUCAGAUUAAUCUGGAAAACUUCAUCAGGAG
Non-coding RNA from Canis lupus familiaris (dog), 151 nucleotides. The record is from Rfam. Lineage: Eukaryota; Metazoa; Chordata; Mammalia; Carnivora; Canidae.